This 1016-nucleotide long non-coding RNA is filed under the name Calidris pugnax (ruff). RNAcentral's name for it is "lncRNA (ENSCPUG00000010353.1)". The record is from RNAcentral. Lineage: Eukaryota; Metazoa; Chordata; Aves; Charadriiformes; Scolopacidae.
AACAGGAUUCAUCUGUCUGCUGAAGCAUGGCUUUCCCCAAAGAUGUAACUGCAAGCAUCAUAUUUAAGAAAUGCCCUUUAAGAGCUAUCCAGAAGAAGAAGAGAAAAUUGAGUUGCUAACGGUGUCUACUCAGGUGCUCACCCAGGUAGAUACACUGCUCAUCAUGGAGACUGCCUCACAAUACUGGGAACUUAAGCCCAAAAUUUUUGCCAAUUUAUACUAAAUAUAAGAUAAGCCACAGAAUACAAUUUCUUCUAGACCAGAGCAUUCCACAGUUCCAGGGACAUUUUGAUAUGGAUCCAGACAAAGCAGGUAAAACUUUGCUCUUGAUUGCCACAUCAGCUACUUUUGUUUGGCCCAGUUAUAAAUAAUAACCCCAGCUCAAUUUGGGCUUUUUAGCAAAACAGACCAGCUGUGAUUUUGGUGACAUAAUUCUCUCAUGUGCCACUUCAGAUAAAAAUUUUGCCCAAUGGACAACCUACAUCAGAUACCUUUUUUAAUAACAAAGCCACAGUGAGUUAAUAGUUUCUUAAUUCAGGAUAACUUUACCAUCAAUCUAUUUUUUUGCAUCAAGUAACACAAUCAAUGGAUGCACAACAAUUUAAUUGUUCUGGAAAAUAUUUUUCAAUUCAGUUCCGAGAUAGGCACUGCUGUUUACUGCACUGCUUCUCUUCUCCCUUUUAAAUCUUUCUGCUCUUAUAUUACAUUAAUUCCAAUAGUCCAUUCACAGUUUUGAUCAAACAGCGCUCAUUCUUGCUCUUCCAAUUACUUGAGAAUAAGUAAAGGACAGGGGAGUGGAGAUAAUCUCUUCUAUUAAGUAAGUUUUAAAUUACCUUUCUUCUUUUGCCUCUUAUUGUUGCCAUAAAAAAUUAUACAAGCAGUGAAAACAUUUUCUUCAGCUCUGUAAUGUGCAAGUAGAAAUUUUGGAGUAGUUACACUGCAAUUACACUUUUUGACCAAAAAGCAGUUAUAUUAAUGGGAAUAAAUAAAGUGUAGUUAUGGUCUUGGUAAUGUAA